This 443-nucleotide ribosomal RNA is filed under the name uncultured bacterium. RNAcentral describes it as "partial 16S ribosomal RNA". It matches the Rfam family "Bacterial small subunit ribosomal RNA", at positions 338 to 795 of the family's 1533-position model. The record is from RNAcentral.
CCUACGGGUGGCAGCAGUGAGGAAUAUUGGUCAAUGGACGCAAGUCUGAACCAGCAACGCCGCGUGAAGGAAGAAGGCUUUCGGGUUGUAAACUUCUUUUCUCAGGGACGAAGCAAGUGACGGUACCUGCGGAAUAAGCCUCGGGUAACUACGGGCCAGCAGCCGCGGCAAUACGUAGGUGGCAAGCGUUAUCCGGAUUUACUGGGUGUAAAGGUCGGGUAGGCGGGACUGCAAGUCAGAUGUGAAAUCCACGGGCUCAACCUGUGGCUUGCAUUUGAAACUGUAGUGCUUGAGUACGGGAGAGGCAGGCGGAAUUCCUGGUGUAGCGGUGAAAUGCGUAGAUAUUAGGAGGAACACCAGUGGCGAAGGCGGUCUGCUGGACAGCGACUGACGCUGAGGCGCGAAAGCGUGGGGAGCAAACAGGAUUAGAUACCCUAGUAGUC